This 491-nucleotide non-coding RNA is filed under the name Pongo abelii (Sumatran orangutan). Lineage: Eukaryota; Metazoa; Chordata; Mammalia; Primates; Hominidae. The record is from RNAcentral.
GGGGCGGGGCUAGCUGCCUCCCGGACGCUACCAGAGGAUGGGGAAGCAGCGUCAGAGGGCGGGGCCAAGCAGGGUGACAGAUCCGGACGUGGACAUCUUGGGGAGCCGCCAUGUUGGGGACGCCGGCUACGGGCAGCGGCAGGACCCAAGUUCAAACGCGUUUUCGCACCGCCUUCUUUUCUUCCCUGCCCAGUCUCGGGGCAGCGCCCCCUAGAGACCGGCGAAAAUGGCAAGCGAGGGUCCCUGCGCAGAGUUGGGACUUUCCCUGACACGUGUAGGGAAAUCAGCCUCUCCUCUUGGUAUGGCCCUAAUAACAUGGAGAGGAAGAGAAGAGGGAAUAUCAAGAACACUUCACAGUGGUCUCUUUCCAUCUUCCUUCUGUCAGGCAUUCUAAUAACUAUAUAUUUUUUACAUAGAAAAAAAGACUGGAAGAAAAGCAUCAAUUGAGAUGUCUCUGGAAAGUACAAGUAAUAAUUUGUUUCUUCAAACUU